ACGUUUAAGAUGUAGAGGGGAUGGAGAAUUCCCACUAAAGAAUGCAUCUACUAAUGGAAUGCCCGUAUAUAAGCACAGCUUCUUGUUUAAAUGUGAGGCCUCAUGAAUGACAGCAUCUCACCUUGCACUAGUUCUCAGCGGCUGGUUAGUAGUUCUAAAUAAAUCCAAGUCAGCAAAUUAUAUUCCAAAAAGAGAGAACUGAUUAUACACUCACAUAACAAUUGGAACUACUUCAGAGUUAAUGGCCAACAUCUAUCAAAAGAAUGCAAUGUUAUCAUACAACCAUUACUCUAGACAUCAAAUUUUAGAACUCAAGAGAUCAUCACAUUUAGGCAGAUAAAUUGCCUCCGUUCAUGCUUCAGCUUAGCAUUAGCAAUAUUUCUACCUACAGCGCUAAGUUUUAUGGUAAAAAUUAAUUAUUUUUACUGGAAGAAUGUUCGUCUCUCGCAAGUACACAUCAUUUGUUCUCAAUGAGCUUUACUGGAAUAAAUCACUUUACAAGCUGAUGUUAUGCAUAAGCAGAUUAUACAAAAAAUAGAGAAAACUAGUUUGUCAUAAACCUCAAUUUUCAGAAUAUAGACUGCAAUUACUUACAAAAUAGGUUUUACAAAGAGCACCUAAACAUUGGAUUAGUCUCACAUAAAAUCCUCAUGAUACUUUUUGCCUGAACUUUGAUAUGAAAAAAGCACUAAUAUCAUUUCAAGCAUAUUUAAGAUUGAAUCAGUCUAUGAAUCAUCUGAUAUCAAUAUGGACUUUUAUUGGUCUAUGAAUCAGUCUAUGAAUCAUCUGAUAUCAAUAUGAAAAAAGCACUGUAAUUAGUUAUAAAAUCGGUUGUACAAAGAGUACCUAAACAUUGAAUUAGUCUAACAUAAAAUCCUCAUGAUACUUUUGCCUGAACUGUGACAUGAAAAAAGCACCAAUAUCAUUUCAAGAAUACAUAAGAUUGAAUCAAUCUAUGAAUCAUCUAAUAUCAAUGUGGACUUUUAUUGGUCUAUGAAUCAGUCUAUGAAUGAUCUGAUAUCAAUAUGAAAAAAGCACUGUAAUUAGUUAUAAAAUAGGUUUUACAAAGAGUACCUAAACAUUGAACCAGUCUAACAUAAAAUCCUCAUGAUACUUUUUGCCUGAACUGUGAUAUGAAAAAAGCACCAAUAUCAUUUCAAGCAUACAUAAGAUUGAAUCAGUCUAUGAAUCAUCUGAUUUCAAUGUGGACUUUUAUUGGUCAACUGGCAACAAUUUUGAUUUGAUGUGGCUCAUCCCUCAAGUCCUGCCAAAAGCAGUCAAGUAGUCAACAAUGCACUAACGAUUUCUUUCCUUCCAUCUCCUCCUUUCAGUGACAAAGUCAAUGUAACCUCCAACCGGAGCAUCCAUCUAUGCUUUAUGAUCACAGCAUACGCAAUCAACUUUAGUGUAAGUAUAACCAAAUAAGAGGUCCGAACUAGCCUCUUACGUAUCUAACAAGUCAAGGGAGAAAUUUGCUAGGUUGCCACAUCAUAUAGGUAGUUUUAGGUUAACCUAUAAGGGCAGACAUCAAUAGAGAUGAUAAUGAUGCAUUUAGUAACAUUAUUGCACUAAUAGAAUAAAUCAAAUACAUGGGCAGUGUUCAUUGUAUGUGUAGAGAGAUUACAGAUUUCCAUUGGAAUAUGCAUCUGCUUAUGACGUAGCUGGAAUAUUAAAGUAUUUUAGAUAUCCUUCUCAUUUGUAGGAGGGUGUCCGAUUGCUAUAUCUGUUACUGACAUCCCUUGGAAUUUCUGUCCAGCCAGCUGAUUAUGGACCAGGAUGACAAGAUGAAUCUCAUCAGGAUCAGCGAUCUACACCAAUAAUAGAGCCUCUAGUUUGACUAACUUUAAUUUUAAAUUCUUUGUCCAUGAAUUUGUGCACCCCAAACAAGGAACUACCUGGACUCCAAAAUCAAUAUUUGCUCUCACUCUGCAUAAUCUAGACUGUUCUAAACAAAAGAUAUAGUUUAAAAAAUCUAUAAAUUCAUAGGCAGCAGGAUCAAUUAUACCCUAACAAAAAUGGGACAGCUUAUUCAAGAAUUCUUGAUAUUUAAUAGUUAUGCAUGACAGCCUUUUCAAUAAUUGAUCGAAUUAUUUGACUAUAUCCUCUACCUGAAUGGGUAAAAUCAUUCAUCGAAUAAGUACAAUGAGGUGGCUUGUCUUCAAAUGCUCAUGAUAUACAUACUUAAACAGCUGAAUUUUUUGCACUUCUUUUAUUUUAUUUGUAGUUAUAUAAAUAUUACAUGACAAGCACAUUAUUUGUUAUAAGUGCCUGAUGGAAAUAUUAUCCUAGACCAACAUAGAAGAAAAAAGAUUCAGACAUUUGCAGACCCAAUAGUAUCAGACAAGCUAUGUAGAACAGAUGAUUUUCUUAGAUACAUCUGAUGAGAAUUCAAAUCAAUCACCAUUAUCAGAGAAGUAACAACACAAAAAUCCAAUGCCUACCUCACUGUAUCUACAUCAGCAAAUAAAAAUUCUAAUCUUGCAUCCAUGUGAACCCAUUUUUCUCAUCGGUAUACUCACAAUCUAGCAUGAAAAUAUAUUGCCCAUAUAUGCUCGAGGUUACCAUCUCAAUCUACCAAAUCUAAAAGGUUCUACGAAUAUAUGCUCAACUAAAUCUCAAAUGUAAUUCAUUUCGAGAAAAUUUGCUAAAAAAGCACAGAAGUGAGAAGGAGUACCUCCAAGUUAAGCCGUAGGCAAGCAACACUCCUCCUUGGCUGUCGCCAUUCUUGAAGCCAUUCGAUGUUAUAGCUCUCAAUCGCUUACAAACUGGCUCACAUCCAUGCCUAAAAUCCCGCGUGCUGCUGAAAGCCCGAGACAACAUCAUGCGAGGCUGCAUUGAAUUAAUGGCAUCGGCGUAGAAUGCAGCGAAGGGUCUUCCCUUGGCAUUCCAUCCAAGAAGGUCACUUGAUCUUGCGACGCGGUUCAUCGGACCUCGCCGAUCACCAGAGGGAUGUCGUAGAAUCUUCUUCAAUCCGCUGUCUCCCACACUUCGAGGGCGCCUUCGCCGGAUUCCGGUGGAUCCCCGGCAACGUUCUCCUCGACGUUUGGAAGUGAGCUUGGUUGAAGAUGAGAUGAAGGCGAAUCCACACUAUUGUGCCGGCGAUGGUUUUCAUGGGAAGGUGGAAUCCACACCGAGGAAAUGCAUCUCAGAUUGGACACAAUAGAACUCCGGACCAGAAGCCGCGAAGGUGUUUGUGGAAAUGCGUGAAAGUGGCACAGGCGGGCCCCCUUGUUACGCACUAGAGAGACUUAAUAUAAG
Molecule: long non-coding RNA, 3258 nt
Filed under: Elaeis guineensis (African oil palm)
Lineage: Eukaryota; Viridiplantae; Streptophyta; Magnoliopsida; Arecales; Arecaceae
Description: long non-coding RNA (EGUI_LNC000719)
Source: RNAcentral